This 665-nucleotide long non-coding RNA is filed under the name Cricetulus griseus (Chinese hamster). RNAcentral's name for it is "lncRNA (ENSCGRG00000025625.1)". Lineage: Eukaryota; Metazoa; Chordata; Mammalia; Rodentia; Cricetidae. The record is from RNAcentral.
UUUAAACCUGGACAAGUGCCUUCUUCAGUGCAUGCGUUCUCGUUUACGCAUGUUGCAGUUUGUAAAUCCUGUGAGCGAACCCGGCCACCAGUUUACCACUGUUCACUGUCACUCUUAUCUGUUUCAUAACGAUGUCAUUCGAGAGCUCUGUAAGUAGUGGUGCUGAAGCAGGAGCCCCCAAAAAUCAGUAACUCCCGGAAGGAAUCGAGAUGCUACCAGACAUGAUGAAGACUGCCCCCCUGGCGCAGGGAACAGAGAUGCUGAUUUCCAGCAGAGCAUCAGUGAAAUAUUAGCGACAAUGUCAGGAAAAGAAAAUGUGGCCUCAGAGCAGAAACAUACCACACCAAGAGCGAGCGGGUUUAUGCGGCGCGGUUUUCCACUUGCAAGCGCGCAUUUUGCAAGGAUGGUGACUAAAGGUUCUCCUGGAUUCCCCGUUUCAGACCAUAAUCCCCCCGGUAAGAAAUAGGGCAGGGGUCACCACGUAGAAGCUAGAACACUCCCCCUUCCCUCCACAGCCACGUUUUCUCACUUUGGAAAGGGCAGGGAGUCUUGACAACCAAUCCUUGGCUUCCUGUUCUGAAUAUCAAUGCGCUAGGGCCUCGGGACUUCUAGAGCAGGAGCGCCGUCUAGUGGACAGUUGUGGAGUUACAGGCUCAACUACAAAG